RNAcentral lists this long non-coding RNA (4762 nucleotides) under Podarcis lilfordi (Lilford's wall lizard). Lineage: Eukaryota; Metazoa; Chordata; Lepidosauria; Squamata; Lacertidae. The record is from RNAcentral.
AGUCUUAGUGUUGCAGGGCCAUCUGUUCAUCCGCAGGUGUUUUAGUUUUGCACACUGAAAAUGUAUUUGGGUGCCAGACAGGAAAGUGUUGAUAUGACUGGCAAAUGAGGUGAGAAAAUGCAACUCUGUAAAGUUAAUAGUUCCAGAUUUCUCACUGUUCAGUCAGCAAUCUCAAGGCAUCUGUAGAGGGGGCAAAAGGGUUGCUAAACACUUUUCCAGCUGUCUUGGAUGAGUGCAGCCUAGACUGCAAUGCUACCAGUACAAAGCUGAAUUGUUGGUGUGAGUGGCAGUUUCUCUCUGUGCCUAGGAAAACAGAGAAGGAGAGGAACCCACUAGCUUCUGGCUGGAAGUUCUUGAAAAAUAAAAUUAACUUAUAUGAAACUUCAGCAUAGGCUUUCGUUCAGAAUACAAAGCAUGGGCCACUUGCGAAAGAAAGUAAGGCUACAGUCUUAACCCAACUUACCUGAGCGUAAGCUUCAUUGAACUCAAUUGGACUUAUUUCUGAUUAGACAUGGUUAGACUUCUGCUGUAAAUCUGGGUUUAACAGCAUUGAACAGCUUUCCUCAGCCUGGUGUGCCCUCUAGUGAUUUGAAUUCACUCCCAUCAGCCCCUGUCAGCAUGACCAACAGUCAAGAAUGAAAGAAGUUGUAGUCUGAAGCUUUUGGAGGAUAACGGAUUGGAGAAGGGUGACUAAGAAGGUAAGGAAACAAGCAUUUAAGGCCGAAAUAAAUCAGAAUUUCCUGCUGCCUGUAAUGCCAUUUACAGGUUUUAUUCAAAAAGCAGCAAUUAUAUUGAGAAAAUAAUAAAUACAGUUUAAUAUAGCUUACAUAUCAUAAAUAUGCAAGAAUGCCAUCACCCUGAAGUUUGAUUGGGCACAGAUAGGUGGCUCUGUGAAUUAUAGUAUGAUGAAGGGAAGUGAGCUGCGGAGUUGGAACAGGCUGCAGCAGCCCUGGACCACUGGCUGCAUUUUAAAAUGCAGGCUUCUCUGUGGCUUCCUUCAGCAGCAGCAAGUGCUUGGAAGCCCCACAAGAGAUUUUGAAAGGAGGGUGGAACAAUCAUGUGAUACCAUAAUAAUGUCAUGUGCGUGGCAGGUGGGUUGCUCUCCCUACUUGUCAAAGCUAGCAUGUGGGGUGGGACCCAGAACACUUGCCCACUCUUGGCGUAAGGGGUUAAUGGGGGAGGUAUGGAGAUGUUGGGGGGGCCAUAGGUGGGAUUGGCAAGCAUCUUUAUAUAGGCGGCUGCUUCAUCAGCAGGAGAGCAAAUCUACAGGAUGACCACGCAGUUUUUGUCCUGUUAGAUCUCUGCCUUCAGGUUAGAGAGUGUUUGUGCUGAUUGCAGUGAGUGGUACUGCUUGAAUGCUAGUUGAGUGGAUAUAGCUGGAGUGUAGAUGCAGAAUCUGAUGUGUGCAGAUUCACACAUCAGCUGUGGCAGGGUAUCCCCAAAGCCUUAUGAGGAAUGGUUGAGGGAGUUGGGUAUGUUUAGCCUGGAGAAGUGAAGAUUGAGAGGUGAUAUGAUACCCAUCUUCAAAUAUCUGAAGGGCUGUUGCAUGGAAGAUGGAACAAACUUGUUUUCUGCUGCUCCCGGGGGUAGGACCCAAAGCAGUGGAUUCAAAUUACAGGAAGGGAGAUUCUGUCUAAACAUGAGAAAGAACUUUCUGGUGGUAAGAGCUAUUCAAUUGUGGAAUUGACUACCUCAGAGGUUGGAUGGUCAAGGAUAUGUUAAGGGUUUCUCAGCUAUGAUCCCUGCAUUGCAGGGGGUUGGACUAGAUGACACUAAGGGUUCCUUCGAACUCUACAAUUCUAUGAUUCUAGGAUACUGAAAAUGAGAAUGUGGAAAGCAGGCCUGUGAAAGCCAGGAAGAGGAGAAACUUGGUUUGGUGGGUUCCCUCUGAGUGAGAGACAGCAUAAGGAGAGUUGUUAUGAAGUUACUACCUUCCAUCUGAAAGUGUGGGAUGUGCCCACUACUGGACCUUUGUUUAUCUGUGGCCUUAAUUGCCCAGCUGUAUAGUAUGACAUUGGAUUAUGGUGCCAGGAUGUGUCUGGAUGGGCAGGUAGGAAGGAGUUGUGAAUAUGUUCCCCCACUUUCAGUGGUGAUGGGCGGGGGAAAGUAUAGCUGGAGUUGUGUGGCUAACUGGGAAUGUAACUGGUCUAUCAACUGCCCUGUAGCCCAGUGGCAGAGCCCCAUGGGACUGUUUUAAAUGGUAGUUGGUCCAACACAUCAGGCAGGGCACAAUCUUGAUGUUGUCUUUAGCCCAAGUGAUAUGAGGGAUAGAUCAAACUUUUUUUGGUGGUGGUGGGGGUGCAAUUCAGUCCCUUGUCAACAUUAGUAGUAAUUAGUAGUAAAGUAGGCCUAUUUGGAUGGCCCACUCUCCGAGACUAAAGGAACUUGAGGAGCUCCUGAAUUCUUGAGGAAUUCCUAAACAGUCUGAACAAUCCUGUUGAUGCUUCACUAUGGAGUAGUGAGAUGAAAUGAGUGGUUGACAUAUUCGCUCCUGAGCAUCCUCUAUGGCGUUGUGGAGCUAGGGCAGCUCCUUGGUAUUCUAGAGAGCUUCGGGCUAUGAAGCAAGCAGAAUGAAGACACAAGUCUCACUCUGAAGCUGACUGAACGCUGGUUAGUGCAGUAACUGUGCCAACCAUGUGGCAGUGCAUGCAAGUUGCAAAGAAGGCUCAUUCACAGCUUGCAUUGCAUUCUCUAGUCACUGGCCAGUGGAAUUAUUUCAAACAUUCUGAAGGUUACUGACUUCCACAGAGGGGGAAGGACCUCUGGAGCAUUAGAGGACCUACUGUGACCAACUGGCUAUAUAUUUUGAGGAUAAAGUCACUUGACUUCAGAGUGACCUUAAUUCUGCGGUUAUUGCAGUUCUAGAUGAAAUACCCAAUGCCAUAGUCAAUGAUGUGUUGUGAGAUCAGUUUCAGCUGAUGCAGUUUGCUGAUGUAGAUAAGGUCCUGGCUGUAUGCCUGACCAUGUAUCCUCUUGAUCCCUGUCCCUCCUGGCUUAUUAAAGCUAGCAGAGGGGGUUUGACUGUUUGGGGCCAGAGUGUGGUUGGCACUGAAGUCCGUAAGGGGAUGGUGUCUACUCCCUUGAAAGAGGCUGUGGUGCAACCUCUCCUGAGGAAACCAGGCCUGAACCCCUUGGACUAGAAUAUCAACCAGUUGCAACUACCUUUAUUGGGGAAGGUGGUGAAGAGAAUUCUGGUAGGGCAGCUGCAAGCAUUAUUGGAUGUCAUGGAUUAUUUAGGUCUGUUUCAGUCUGGGUUCAGGCCUGGCCAUGGGAUUGCGUCUUGGUUGCCCUGAUGGAUAAUCUUUUCAAAGAGUGGGACAAGGGGAGUGCAACUUUGCUUUCUCUUCUUGCUCUGUUUGCAACUUUCAGUAUCAUUGACAAUGGUAUCCUACUGGACUGACACUGUCAAAUGGGAAUUGGAGGGCACUGUAUUCCAAUGGUUCCUGUCCUACCUACAGGACAAUGCUUUUAGGGAGAGUGCUUUGUGGUCCUUUGCACUUACAUGAAGCAGGAUGACACUAUUCUUUCCCCAGUGAUAUUUAAUAUUUACAUGAACCUGCUUGGAGUGAUCAUUAGGAGUUUGUGGGCAAUGAGUUAUCAGUAUCCUAAUGACACUUCACUCUAUUUCUCCAUCACACCUGCAUCAGGGCAGGUGGUGCGGGCCCUGGACUGGUGCCUGGAUCCAGUGGUAGGAUGGGUGAAGGAAAAUAUGUUAAGCUUGAAUCCUGGCAUGACAGAAAUACCGUGGAUGAGCGAUUCUUUAGUCCAAGCAAUUAGUCAACUGAUUUCCCUGGAUGCGCUCUCUCUGAAGGAGCAGUUUGGGGGUGCUUCUGGAACCUGUUCUGCCAGUGGAUGCCCAGGUAGCCUCAUUUGCUAGAAGUGCCCUUUACUUCAUGCAACUAGGGUGACACCAACAGCCAGUCCUGAACCAGGAUAGCUUGGCCACAGUAGUUCAAGCAUUGGUGACUUCAAGAUGGGAUUACUGCAGUGCACUGCAAUUCAGUCUUUGUGGGGCUUCCCAUGCACUUGAACCAGAAGCCGCAAUUAGUUACUGCACCGUUACUGACAGGAAUGAAACCCUGUCUGCAUAUACUGCAUGUACACCCUUGCUUGGAGUUCUGCACCAGUUGCCCAUUUGCUACCAGGCCAAGUUCAAGGAAUUACUAUUAGAAUAUAAACCCUUAACAGCUUGGGGCCAUUUUACUUGCAAGAUCACUUUACUCCAUAUAUGCUCCCUCAACUGCUUUGAUCUGCAGAACUGACAGCGUUAAUGGUGCCACAUAAUACUUGUUCAAUACUUACAAGAAAUUGUUCUUCCUGUGUAGCAGCACCUAUACUUUGGAACUCCCUGCCUGCUUAACAUCAGGCAGGUACCUUCGCUGUAAUUUUCACCACCUGCUUAAAACAUUUUUGUUUCGGCAAUCCUAUUCAGACAUGUAGAAGCUACAUAAGCAUCUUCUCUUUUUUUGCUAGUGUUGAUUAUGAUAGUCUUCUACAUGUUUUUAAAUACCUAUUUUAACUGUUCUUAUACUGAGGUUUAAUGCUUUAUUUUAUACUUAUGUAAACCACUUAGAGGCCAGUAAAGCGAGAUGAGCGCCGCAACCCCAGCGUCGUCCGCAACUCAAUAGUCAGGGGUCCCUUUACCUUUAAACCACUUAGAGGUUUUCUUACAGGCAAGCAGUAUUUAAAAUUUGUUAAAUAAAUAGAAUAAAUCUCUAUCCCCAUGCCCAGAAUACAUUCUGGAUUGUCCUGUCAUCUCAGU